Doryrhamphus excisus (bluestripe pipefish) is the source of this 572-nucleotide non-coding RNA. The record is from RefSeq and is a predicted model, not a curated record. Lineage: Eukaryota; Metazoa; Chordata; Actinopteri; Syngnathiformes; Syngnathidae.
UGAGCCGAGCACCUUAUUUUGUGAUAAUAUAAGCACGCUAAGUAGCAUGACAUGUGACAUGUGUUUGUUGUUAUCAACGCUGCUACGACUAAGUCAACAUGUAAGAUAUGAUCCACAUAUAUUUACAUGCAUUGGUGGACAAUUGUGUGUACUAACUAGAGGCAUGUAUGGGCAUGUCCACAGCUAAAAACUUAUGAAGUUGAAGCUAAAGAAAACAUCUGCUUCACACUGUUAGCUAACGUUAGCUUGUAGCGCGAGGCGAUAGUUAGCUUGAGUUCACCUCAGUUCACAGCAUGACAUAAAGAGCACGAGGAAGCUAAUGGCUAACAUGAACAACCAAACAGUCUACGGCGCCGUCUGGGAUUUUUUUUUAUCCUCAAAUCGCAUAGGCACGUGCCCUGGUGAUGUCGUGAUUUAAAAAAAAAUGAAACAAGGAUUCCAAAGAGGAGAAGACCAAUAGUGAAUUCAAGAAAGAAGUCAUCUCAAAGUUCAAAGACGUCGUCCAUGUUGCCGAUCUCGCGUGUGGAAAGCCUUCAACAACAAUAAGUACCAUCCUGAAGAAUAACAACGUA